This 3032-nucleotide ribosomal RNA is filed under the name Candidatus Falkowiibacteriota bacterium. RNAcentral's name for it is "bacterial LSU rRNA". It matches the Rfam family "Bacterial large subunit ribosomal RNA", at positions 11 to 2141 of the family's 2925-position model. The record is from RNAcentral. Lineage: Bacteria; Candidatus Falkowiibacteriota.
UUAAGAGUGUAUGGUGGAUGCCUUGACAUAAGAAGACGAUGAAGGACGUAACAGCCUGCGAUAAGCUUCGGUGAGGUGGCAAGUAACCUUUGACCCGGAGAUUUCCGAAUGGGGAAACCCAUCCGAUUGAAGAUCGGAUAUCCUGAUUCCUUGGGAAUCGGGAUGAAGACCUGGUGAAUUGAAACAUCUUAGUAACCAGAGGAAAAGAAAACAAUAGUGAUUCCCUUAGUAGUGGCGAGCGAAAGGGGAGGAGCCUAAACUCACAUAACUGCGGUUAGUGCUUGGUUUACCAAGUAUUAACCAGAAGGUUCUAGGGCCAUAUGUUUUGUGGGGCUUGCAAGAGAUCGCGUUUGUCGCCUAGACAGACAAGGUAAAGUCAUAAAAAAUAAACUUUAGUCAAAGUGAGCUGGAAAGCUCUGCCAGAGAGAGUGAAAGCCUCGUAGAUAAAAAAGUUUGUUUCUUUACUGCGAAUCUUCUUAAGUAGGACGGGCCUCGUGAAAUCCCGUUUGAAUCAGGGUCGACUAUGACCCAAGGCUAAACACUUCUUAUGAUCGAUAGUGAACAAGUACCGUGAGGGAAAGGUGAAAAGCAUCCCGAGAGGGAGGUGAAAUAGUACCUGAAACCAUAUACUUACAAAGAGUCGGAGCCGUGCUUGCACGGUAACGGCGUGCCUAUUGAAGUAUGAGCCAACGAGUUUGUUCUAUGUGGCUUACAUAAGUUCCGUUUGGAAAAUAUGUGUAGUGAAAGCGAGGGUUAAAUGCCCGUUUUUGUACUUCACUUUUGCGCAUUAAUUUAUUAGUGCGUUAAAAGUGAAGUACCAGUCGCAUGGACAAGACCCGAAGCCGAGUGAUCUAACCAUGGCCAGGUUGAACUUUGUCGAAAGACAGAGGAAGGACCGAACCCACUAGUCGUGCAACACUAGGGGAUGAGCUGUGGUUAGCGGUGAAAUUCCAAUCGAACUCGGCAAUAGCUGGUUCUCCUCGAAAUAGCUUUAGGGCUAGCCUCAAGUGCUGACUACGGGGGGUAGAGCACUGGAUGAGGGCGGGCCGAUUAGGUACCGUCUUCAAUCAAACUCCGAAUACCCGUAGGUGAAGCUUGGGAGUCAGACCAUGGGCGCUAAGGUUCAUUGGUCGAAAGGGAAACAGCCCAGACCGCAAUCUAAGGUCCCUAAAUUCACGCUAAGUGUUAAAGGUGGUGUUGUGACCGCGACAAUUAGGAGGUUGGCUUAGAAGCAGCCAUCCUUUAAAGAAAGCGUAAUAGCUCACUAAUCAAGUUGUUUCGCGCCGAAAAUUUAUCGGGGCUAAGCGUGAUACCGAAGAUGCGGGCUUGUUAAUUUAUUAACAAGCGGUAGAGGAGCGUUUUAUUCUGCACUGAAGCUGUGUCGUGAGACAUGGUGGAGCGGAUAGAAGUGAGAAUGUUGGCAUGAGUAGCAAAAAGGCAGGUUAAAACCCUGCCCACCGAAAACCUAAGGUUUCCUGGGCAACGACAAUCGUCCCAGGGUUAGUCGAUCCUAAGGUAGUAUUUGUGUAAUGCAAGUAUUAUACCGAUGGAAGAGCUGGUUAAUAUUCCAGCACUACUGUGUUUUUCCGAUGGAGGGACGCGGUUUCAAAGUUUAAGCGGGCUAUGGUAUGUCCGUUGAUGGUUUCAAGAAGUGGCUUAGGCAAAUCCGAGCCAAUAACUUCAAGAGACAGUCUGGAGACAAAAUCGUAAGAUGGAGUCAACUUAAGUGGAGGAAUCGCCUAGAAAAACUUCUAGGGCUAAGAACAUAGUAAUCGUACCGCAAACCAACACAGGUAGGUGAGGCGAGAAGCCUCAGGUGAACGAGAGAACCUUCGCUAAGGAACUAGGCAAAACAGCGGCCGUAAUUUCGAGAUAAGGCCUGCCCUGAGCAAUCAGGGCCGCAGCUAAAGAGCCCAAAGGACUGUUUACCAAAAACACAGCUCUCUGCUAACUCGCAAGAGGAUGUAUAGAGGGUGAAGCCUGGCCAGUGUCCGAACGUUAAGAGGAGGGGUUAAUCAUGCUUGCAUGGUGAAGCUCUGAAUUGAAGCGCGGAUGAACGCCGGCGAUAACUAUGAAUGAUUGUAGUUAUAAAAUUUGGCUAUAUGCUGGAAUAUCCUGUUAAGCUGGAAGUACUCAUUCUUUUAUAGAAUAGUGAAAAUCUUUCAGAUAACCCUUGUUUAAGGUACGGGACAAUCAGCAGGAAAGACUCUUAAAUAUAUGAAGCAAAAAAAAAUUAAACCAGAGCUAGCUUAUUAUUUAGUUGGCUUUGCAGAUGGUGAAGGAAGUUUUAACGUUUCAAUUAGAAAAAGACCUGAUCAUACUAUGAAAUGGCAAAUUGUUUUAACCUUUAACGUUUCACAAAGUGAAAGUUAUAUAUUAUCACAAUUUAAAAAACAUUUAGGAUGUGGUCGGAUAGUGCAAAGAAAAAAAGAUGGUCUAUAUAUGUAUGUAGUAGAUAAUCCUAAAUCUUUGCAGGAAAAAGUAAUUCCCUUUUUCAAGAAAUAUAAAUUUCUUUCCCAGAAAAAAAAGUAUAAUUUUUCUAUUUUCUGUCAAAUUGCUAAUUUAGUUUUUUCUAAAGAACAUCUCAAUAAAGAAAGUUUUAUGAAGGUUAUUGAUUUAAGGGAAAAAUUAAAUGAAGGUAAAGGUAGAAAGAGAAAAUAUAAUAAAGAAGAUUUACAAGAAAUCUUCAAAGAGAAUCCUCAGAGACUACACGCCAAACCACGUAUUUUUCGUCCAGAAAAAUAAGUGGAUGAUAUAGUCCGAUCUUUAUGGAAACAUAAAGUAGUAUUUUUCUUAAAAUACUAAGGUUUAAUAUAAUUAAACUAACAUUAAUGAAUCGUCCUAAGGUAGCGAAAUUCCUUGUCGGGUAAGUUCCGACCUGCACGAACGGUUUAACCAUUUGGGCACUGUCUCAGCGAAGGACUCGGUGAAAUUGCAAUACGAGUAAAAAUGCUCGUUAAUCACAGUUGGACGAAAAGACCCCGUGAAGCUUUACUACAGCUUGAUAUUGAAUUAGGGGUAUGCAUGUUCAG